Molecule: ribosomal RNA, 229 nt
Filed under: Propionispora hippei DSM 15287
Lineage: Bacteria; Bacillati; Bacillota; Negativicutes; Selenomonadales; Sporomusaceae
Description: 16S rRNA. Bacterial SSU
Rfam family: Bacterial small subunit ribosomal RNA
Source: RNAcentral
CUGGCUCAGGACGAACGCUGGCGGCGUGCCUAACACAUGCAAGUCGAACGGUCUGGUGUUUAACACCAAACGCUACAUGCUAACCGGGGAAUUACAAUUGAGCCGCGUCUUAUGAACGAGCAACCGGAAACGUAAGAGCGAUUGGUGUUGAACGCCAGGUAGUGGCGAACGGGUGAGUAACGCGUAAACAACCUGCCUCAUAGAUGGGGACAACACCGCGAAAGUGGUG